Small nucleolar RNA from Mangifera indica (mango), 107 nucleotides. The record is from RefSeq and is a predicted model, not a curated record. Lineage: Eukaryota; Viridiplantae; Streptophyta; Magnoliopsida; Sapindales; Anacardiaceae.
AUUUGAUGGUGCGGACAGCUUGCACAGAGUUUUUUAAAGCGCUCUUAAUAUUCAUAUAAAGACUCUCCAGUAUGUUGUCUAAUGCCACAGAUUUCCUUCCUUAUGUU